RNAcentral lists this ribosomal RNA (483 nucleotides) under uncultured bacterium. Its description in RNAcentral is "partial 16S ribosomal RNA". It matches the Rfam family "Bacterial small subunit ribosomal RNA", at positions 30 to 507 of the family's 1533-position model. The record is from RNAcentral.
UUGCACGCUGGCGGCAGGCCUAACACAUGCAAGUCGCGCGGAUGAAGGGAGCUUGCUCCUGGAUUCAGCGGCGGACGGGUGAGUAAUGCCUAGGAAUCUGCCUGGUAGUGGGGGAUAACGUCCGGAAACGGGCGCUAAUACCGCAUACGUCCUGAGGGAGAAAGUGGGGGAUCUUCGGACCUCACGCUAUCAGAUGAGCCUAGGUCGGAUUAGCUAGUUGGUGGGGUAAAGGCCUACCAAGGCGACGAUCCGUAACUGGUCUGAGAGGAUGAUCAGUCACACUGGAACUGAGACACGGUCCAGACUCCUACGGGAGGCAGCAGUGGGGAAUAUUGGACAAUGGGCGAAAGCCUGAUCCAGCCAUGUCGCGUGUGUGAAGAAGGUCUUCGGAUUGUAAAGCACUUUAAGUUGGGAGGAAGGGCAGUAAGUUAAUACCUUGCUGUUUUGACGUUACCAACAGAAUAAGCACCGGCUAACUUCGUG